UAGGAAUUCAAUGGAGCUUUAGGAGUGA
Molecule: non-coding RNA, 28 nt
Filed under: Mus musculus (house mouse)
Lineage: Eukaryota; Metazoa; Chordata; Mammalia; Rodentia; Muridae
Source: RNAcentral